This 1732-nucleotide long non-coding RNA is filed under the name Limulus polyphemus (Atlantic horseshoe crab). RNAcentral describes it as "uncharacterized LOC111086995, transcript variant X2". Lineage: Eukaryota; Metazoa; Arthropoda; Merostomata; Xiphosura; Limulidae. The record is from RNAcentral.
AUGUUAUGUUUAAAAUGUUUUCAAACAAUACAGGGUGAUGUAACAUUGUUUGAUUUUGUUUUUCACCAGAAUGCAUGUAAAUCGAAACGUUUUUCUCCCUGCAGUUAAGUUACUUAGAAAUUUUGUAGACUGGAGAAAAUGUUAAUGCUGUUUUACAGAUACUAGUGAAAAUUACUUUACUGAAGCUUUAGAAGGAAAAUACCCAUGUCUGCAGUUACACUUGGAAAGAAGGAAAUGUCAGAUAGAAGUCAAGAAAAAAGAUUUUUCAACAUUUGAUGAUGUAGUAGAAAAUACUGAAAUAGCACAGGGUGUGUUACUUGGGGUUGUCUGCAACUUCAAGCUGGUUCCUUGAUAAAUUGUGGUUUAAUGGACUGUUAUCAUGAUGCAUCCAUAUUGCCACAGAUAGCUAGAAACUAGUGAAUUUAUAACUGAUAUAACUAAUUAUGAAAAUUUUCCUUUUCAAAAUAAACCACUGAACAUAUGAGAAGAAUGUGGCAUUACUCCUAUUUUAUCUGGAAGUGACCAUGAAUGUAAUAAUGAAGAUGAAAAUUACCUUGAUCUUGAUAAUGUGUAUGAAGAGGAAACAAUUGACUUGUGGAAAGCCAGUAACUAAAAGCUGAAAUCUCCCUAAAAAAAAGAAACUUAUCCAACUAACAGAGAAAGCAUAUACCUAUGACCUGUGUGAUAGAAGUUUAAAAUCACAUAAUUUCAUCUACACAGGAAAAAGACCAUACUGUUGUAAUAUUUGUGGAAAGAAAUUCAGGGUGUCCAGCCACUUAAAAGACCAUCGGGUGAUUCACACGGGAAUGAGACUUUAUAGUUGUUACAUAAGUGGAAGAACAUGUACACAAGCUGGAAACCAGAUACCAUUUGAUCCAUAAGAAACAUAAUUUGUAUGUUAAAAUGUAUUUUUUAAGCAUUUGUUAUAGCUUUGUAUUUAUAUGAUUAUUUGAAUGGAAAAACAUGUUGUUAAGACUGUUGAAGAGUUUACAAUAAGUGAUCCAGAAAACAGUUAUCAGUUAUUAGCUAUAAAAGAGCUAACUAAUCUUUGAGAAAUAAGAUACAAAUAGUUGUAAAGAGAAAGGAUCUUAAUGAUUAUUUGUCAGAAAAUUUUUGAUUUAAAUUCUGUUUAAGUGUGUUGUUUUAUUGUUGAAACUUUCAAAGUAUUUGAGCUAACAGCAAAAUGAAUAACACUAGGCAAUGACAACAACAACACAUUUUCUCUGCUACUAGAAAAAAAUGCAACUGUUUCUAAAUAAUUUGACGAUGCUGAUUCUAAAAAUCAUGUUGAAAAUUACUAUCACCUUUAGUUUUCUAGUUAUGAUAGACUUAUUCAAAUUAUUCUUAUAUAUUGUGAAAAUUGCAUGAGUGUAAAACAAGUGUAAUAAGAUUAUAUAGUGAAAAUACAUUCAGGCUAUUUUCAAAAGUUUCAUUGUGGUAAUUUUUUUGUUACAAAAUAUCUGCUUGACCUGUUGUGCCUUUUUUGUAUAUUCUCAAUUUCUUUCUGUAAGAACCAUCAGUAAUCUCCCAUUAUUGCAGGGUUCCAUCAUCCUUGAUAUUGCUGUUCUAUUGUAACAAUAUCUUGGUGGAAGCGCUCACCAUGCUGAUCACUCUCUGCACCUGAAAAAAACAGUUAACUUUUAAAUGUUACAUAUCUGCAUUAAUUUAUUUAUUAAGAAUCUAUCAAUCAUAGUUUAAAUAUUAUUUCUCCAAGUAUUUUUUUAUCAGAACU